This 430-nucleotide ribosomal RNA is filed under the name uncultured Alphaproteobacteria bacterium. RNAcentral's name for it is "bacterial SSU rRNA". It matches the Rfam family "Bacterial small subunit ribosomal RNA", at positions 11 to 492 of the family's 1533-position model. The record is from RNAcentral. Lineage: Bacteria; Pseudomonadati; Pseudomonadota; Alphaproteobacteria.
GUUUGAUCUGGCUCGAGCGAACGCUGGCGGCAGGCCUACACUUGCAAGUCAACGCCCNGUGCAAUCGGGAGUGGCAGACGGGUGAGUAACACGUGGGAACGUGCCCUUCGGUUCGGAAUACCCAGGGAAACUUGGGCUAAUACCGGAUACGUCCGCAAGGAGAAAGAUUUAUCGCCGAAGGAUCGGCCCGCGUCCGAUUAGCUAGUUGGUGAGGUAACGGNCUACCAAGGCGACGAUCGGUAGCUGGUCUGAGAGGAUGAUCAGCCACACUGGGACUGAGACACGGCCCAGACUCCUACGGGAGGCAGCAGUGGGGAAUAUUGGACAAUGGGCGCAAGCCUGAUCCAGCCAUGCCGCGUGGGUGAUGAAGGCCCUAGGGUUGAAAGCCCUUUCGGCGGGGAAGAUAAUGACGGUACCCGCAGAAGAAGCC